UAUCUCUGUAGAGUCUGCAUAUCAAUAAGCGGAGGAAAAGAAACUAACAAGGAUUCCCUUAGUAACGGCGAGUGAAGCGGGAAGAGCUCAAAUUUGAAAUCUUCAAGGUUCUACCUUGACGAAUUGUAGUUCAUAGAAGUGUUUUCUGUUAGUGGAGUGGCAAAAGUUCUUUGGAAUAGGACAUCAUAGAGGGUGAGAAUCCCGUAUUUGGUCAUUCCUCCUAGCGUUGUGAUACACUUUCAACGAGUCGGAUUGUUUGGGAAUGCAGUCCAAAAUGGGUGGUAAAUUUCAUCUAAAGCUAAAUAUUGGCGGGAGACCGAUAGCGAACAAGUACCGUAAGGGAAAGAUGAAAAGAACUUUGAAAAGAGAGUUAAACAGUACGUGAAAUUGUCAAAAGGGAAGCGUUUGACACCAGUGUUGUUUUUCCGAAAAUCAAUUACGAAUGUUUUAUUUUUGAGGAGUUAUGACUUCAUCGGCUUGCUCCUUUCUUUACGAAACUUUCUUAAUGCACUUUUCGGUUAACAAGUCAACAUCAAUUUCUUUUGUUGUAAAAGGGUAUGAGGAAGGUGGCUUUCUUUUCGGAGAAAGUGUUUAUAGCCUUGUACCUCUGCAAUCGGAGAGAUUGAGGUCUGCAGCGUAGAUCCUUCGGGGUUAGAUACAUUUGUGCUAAGUUAUAGCUUUUCAUAGACAACUUGUUGACUAUGUUCAGUCUUGUAGCUUACUCGCUUAUGCUAUUUUACCUACGCUUAGGAUGUUGAUGUGAUACUGCGAGCA
This 774-nucleotide ribosomal RNA is filed under the name uncultured Neocallimastigales. Its description in RNAcentral is "partial large subunit ribosomal RNA". It matches the Rfam family "Eukaryotic large subunit ribosomal RNA", at positions 24 to 646 of the family's 3401-position model. The record is from RNAcentral. Lineage: Eukaryota; Fungi; Neocallimastigomycota; Neocallimastigomycetes; Neocallimastigales.